GACGAACGCUGGCGGCGUGCUUAACACAUGCAAGUCGAACGGAAAGGCCCUUCGGGGUACUUGAGUGGCGAACGGGGGAGUAAAACGUGGGUGAUCUGCCCUGCACUUUGGGAUAAGCCUGGGAAACUGGGGCUAAUACCGAAUAGGACCACGCGCUUCAGGGUGUGGGGUGGAAAGCGUUGGCGGUGUGGGAUGGGACCGGCGCCUAUCAGCUUGUUGGGGUGGUAAUGGCCUACCAAGGCGACGACGCGUAGCCUGGCUGAGAGGGUGAGCUGCCACACUGCGCCUGAGCUGCGGCCCGGCCUCGUCCGCUACGCGGCGCUGCGGUGUGUUGCACUGUGGGCUCAACCCUGAUCCAGCCCCGCCGCGUGGCGUGUGUCGUCCUUCGGUUUGUGUUCCUCUGCCCUUUUGCACGAGGCGCAAGUGACGGUACCUAUAGAAGAAGCACCGGCCAACUCCGUG
RNAcentral lists this ribosomal RNA (462 nucleotides) under uncultured bacterium. RNAcentral describes it as "partial 16S ribosomal RNA". It matches the Rfam family "Bacterial small subunit ribosomal RNA", at positions 28 to 507 of the family's 1533-position model. The record is from RNAcentral.